Molecule: long non-coding RNA, 2111 nt
Organism: Mus musculus (house mouse)
Lineage: Eukaryota; Metazoa; Chordata; Mammalia; Rodentia; Muridae
Product: predicted gene, 50606
Exons: 3
Source: RefSeq, a predicted model, not a curated record
GGGCAUCGGAUUCCAUUACAGACAGUUUGUGAGCCAACAUGUGCUUGCUUGGACUUGAACUCAGGACCUCUGGAAGAGCAAUCAGUGCCCUUAACUGCUGAUCCAUCUGUCCAGCCCUGGUACAUCUUCUUGAUGGGUGUGGGAAGGCCCAGUUCACUCUGGGUGGUGCCAUCCCUAGGCUGGUGGUCCUGGAGGCUGUAAGAAAGCAGGCUGAGCAGGCCAUGAGGCAUAAGCCGGUAAUCAGUCCCCCUCUGUGACUUCCGUGCCAGCUCCUUCCCUGCUCCAGUUCCUGCCUCGACGUCUUCCUCAGCAACGGAGUGUGACCUGAGAAUUCUGAGAUGAAAUAACCCCUUCCGUCCCCCAAGUUGUUUUUGAUCAUGGUGUUUUAUCACAGUAAUAGAACCUAAGGCGGAUUGAUGUGAAAAAUGAGGAAGCCUACGGCACCGGAGAAUCAGAGGGCCGGGUGCGAUAGAUAUUAAGAUGAGUACGUGCAAGUCUGGAUGCUCUGUGGUGUCCGAGCUCCCAGCAUGUCCCCAGGUCAAGCUGAGGACACGGAAUCCCCGGAAUUUUCUUUCCUGAGGACAACAACCGUGGCCUAUUUAUUGGCUUCAGUUGCUAUGAAGUGACCGCGCCACCGAAGGGAAGCUGGUGCCCUUAGCUCUACCCAAUCCUCUGGAGGAAUCACCAUGAAUCUCCCAACAGCAAAUCUUAGCUGGGGAUGCACAGAGCUGGGAGCAUCGUCCACAGGAGUGAGUUCUAGAGGGUCCUGAAGAACUCCAUAUCAUCAGACUACAGAGACACCUGCACACCCGAGUUUACUGCAGCACUUGUCCCUGUAGCUAAGGUGGAACCAACUUAGUGCCCAGCAUCACCGAAUACGUAAGGAAAAUGUGUAUACACUCAAUGGAAGUUUUCACACAGUUAUAUCCUUUGUGGAAAAUGAACACAACGGAGACAAUCAGAUUAAACGAAUUAAACCAGUCUCAGAACCGAAAGACAGAUUUUGUAUGUUUACCCGCAUUUCUAGUCCCUGGAUUUUAUACAGUCAUAAAUAAUCAUGAUUAUAUAGAUUAAGAGCACAAGUGAAGUGAAGUAAGGGAACAGGGGUGGAUCAAUGAAAGGAGGGGCGAAGAAAGGGACCCUGGGGCCAGGCCAAGUGCUCAGCACACAAUGAAUACGUGUCAGAAACUAAAAACAAUAUAUACCAUAAACAUAUAUAUAGUAUAUGUAAACUAUACAUACUGUUUAUAUGUGUAUAUAUUUAAAGCAAUUUUAUAUACUUACAUUUAAAACAAUUUUUAUAUAUUGUUUAUAUAUUAUAAACAAAUAUUAUCUAAACAAUAUAUAAAUAUAUGUGUGUAUAAUAUUGUUUAAUAUAAUAUGUAUGUAUAUAAUGUAUAUGUAUUAAAGUGUUCUUUGUAUUACAGAGUUGUGAGGAUUCUGGAUGGGGUAGGAUCAGGUUGGUGGGUAACGGUUCUCUGCGUCUUACAUUUGCCUGCUGCAGUUGAGCUUCUGAAGGCUUGCAGGCUGGCUGGCUACCAGGGACCCUUGAACUGCAGGUGCUGAUUUGAAGGAUGCUGCAGGGAGGAUCCCAAGGCCCAGGGAUGCUACAGCGCUUGUCCCUGAUUCCUUGGUGCUGUUGAUGCCCCAGAUCUGUGAACCACAGUUUGGGCAGCAAGGUUCUCUUAAACCUCUCACCCACAGGGACAUCCUCUGUGGUAGUUCAGAAACCUACGCAGAGAGUCCUGAGUCCCCACAGGCUGGUCCACCUCAGCUGGGACUUGUCACAUCAAAGUCUUACUGCAGCAAGGAGAAAGUGCUGUCACUGUCACGUCACCAGAAAGCAAAGGGGGUGGGAAAGAAAGGGGUGACCUGCCAGAAAACACUGUGAGCAGGCUAAUUUGCACCUGUGCUAAUUGGGCUGGAAGUCGCUCUCAUUUACCUUCCCAGUCAUUCCAUCUCUUCAGAUUAAGGAAGAAUUAGGAAAAAAGAAAAAAAAAAAGACUCUGGAGAAAUGGCCGCUCCAUGGAAACACAAUUUGCAUACAUAACAAUUCAGUCUAUAGAGAUGCUGCUCAUCUCUGUCCGCACAACUAGAAUUACCCGGGGAAA